RNAcentral lists this unclassified non-coding RNA (337 nucleotides) under Parasponia rigida. Its description in RNAcentral is "partial external transcribed spacer". The record is from RNAcentral. Lineage: Eukaryota; Viridiplantae; Streptophyta; Magnoliopsida; Rosales; Cannabaceae.
UGUCCCGUUUCCUGUGUUGGCUACCUUCGACGGAACGCGUCGUAUCGUUGUCCCUUUCCUCCGUUGCUUUCCUUUUGGGUCGCAACGGGGACCCCGAAGCGAUCCCUGUGUCCCGGGCAGUCCUCGGCGUUUCGCUGCGGCAGCUACGGUCCACGGGUGCUUGCUUGUUCGCUCGGAUGCGGAACACUAAGUGAGAGUGGGAGUCGGCGACCCCCGAUCGCUCAAAAUUGUCCCUUUGACUCGGAAGACACUCGCAGCCGUGCGUGCCAACCUUCGCCCCGGGGCUUUUAGGCGUGCGCACUGCUUGCGAUGUCCCGAAGGAAUGCUACCUGGUUGA